AACGAACGCUGGCGGCAGGCCUAACACAUGCAAGUCGAGCGCCCCGCAAGGGGAGCGGCGGACGGGUGAGUAACGCGUGGGAAUAUGCCCUUUGCUACGGAAUAGUCUCGGGAAACUGGGGGUAAUACCGUAUACGCCCUUUGGGGGAAAGAUUUAUCGGCGAAGGAUUAGCCCGCGUUGGAUUAGGUAGUUGGUGGGGUAAUGGCCUACCAAGCCGACGAUCCAUAGCUGGUUUGGGAGGAUGAUCAGCCACACUGGGACUGAGACACGGCCCAGACUCCUACGGGAGGCAGCAGUGGGGAAUCUUAGACAAUGGGGGCAACCCUGAUCUAGCCAUGCCGCGUGAGUGAUGAAGGCCUUAGGGUUGUAAAGCUCUUUCAGCUGGGAAGAUAAUGACGGUACCAGCAGAAGAAGCCCCGGCUAACUCCGUG
This 431-nucleotide ribosomal RNA is filed under the name uncultured bacterium. RNAcentral describes it as "partial 16S ribosomal RNA". It matches the Rfam family "Bacterial small subunit ribosomal RNA", at positions 29 to 507 of the family's 1533-position model. The record is from RNAcentral.